Molecule: long non-coding RNA, 1864 nt
Organism: Macaca fascicularis (crab-eating macaque)
Lineage: Eukaryota; Metazoa; Chordata; Mammalia; Primates; Cercopithecidae
Source: Ensembl
CUGCCUCCCACCCCCUCCCUGGGUGUCCUCCCCAGUGCCUGGGAUAGGUGCUUAACAAAGUUUACUGGCAUUAAUGCUGUUGGUGGGCAGGAGGUGCCCAAUUUGCAUUGGAAAAGAGAGAAACAGCAGUAGCAAAAAGAUGGCAAUGAGGGACAGGAGAGACCCACUUAGCUGGAGGGGGUGAGGGUCCAUGCACCAAAUAGGAGUAUGCAAAGAAAGCGAUAAACCUUUCAUAACAGGUAAAGGAAGGUGAAUUUUAUCCAGUGUCGUGUUUAGCUGAGUUCAGACUAGAAAGCUGGGCUGGAUGAGUCAGUUUGACAAGGCCUUUUUAGAUUUAGGAGCCUGUUCCGUUUUUCUCCUCUUCCUCCUCUUCACUGUAAGCUAUCCCUUGAGCUGUAUUCUGAAACCCUUAAUGGUUUUUCCAUCUCACUAGGGACAGUUUGCAAACCCUCUCUGGCUUGGCCAGGGUUGGGGCUGGGCACAAGAGGAGGUGGCUCCCAGCAAUAAGCAACCCACAGAAUUGUGUCUGUUAUUUAAGAAAAGUUUCUGGUUUUCGGCUAAUUGCAAAAAUACAUAAUGGAUGCUUUUCGCAUCUGCUAGUUAUUCUGGUACAGGCCUGCAUCCAAGAGCAAACUUUAAACAAACAAUAAGAUUAUCGAGCUUAACUAUUUCAAUGUGUAACAGAAAGCCAAGCCCCAUACACUUAAAUUAGCACACAUGCACUCAGACACAAGCACACAAGAGAUCAUAUCAACAGAUACACAAACAUACACACAUACAGAUGCAUGUUUUGGCACUAGUGCAUGCCCAAAUGCAUACUUACACACUAGCACCUAGUACAUACAAGCAUGCACAACUUGCACAUGUGCCCAGUCACCAGCACCGAUAGACAUAUUCUCAGACACACAAAUAUACAUACACUCACACACUAGUAUAUACCAACGCAUUUGAACAUCACAGACACACAGUCUCCAGCACAGAUGCAUUUACACAAAUCAUUCUUACUGCAAUGAGAGAUAGACCUGGGUAGGUGUGUGUGUCCUCCCAGUGCAGAGUUAAAUGAAGCAGUCCAUCAGCUGGGCACUGGCUGUCCGGGUGUUACCAGGUGUAGUUAUCAGUAUGGCCACCAAGAGGCGCCCAGGAUCCAUCCUGCAUCCACUUUUCAUGGCUUCUGCCAGCUGGUCAAUUUUUUUCUGUACCCACAAGCCUGCAUCUCCCUGUUCUGGAUCCCUGCACAGAACUAGGAGACUCCUUGAUCCCAGCCCCAACCUUCCAGGAUCCACUGUGCUCACUCUCAUCUUUUCCCUGUCCCACACCACCGAAACAACCACAAGUCCCAUCCCUCCUCCCUCCUAGCAGAACACAUGCUUCAGAACUCCCUGCUUGUCCUGUGGCUGCUCCAUGGAGAACUGGAUCUGUCAGGUCUUGAUCAUGAUGUGACUUCUACCUGGAACUUCUCCCACAGGAGCAGCUGUCAAAAUCUCACCUGUAUUACAGUCUAUUUCAGAAUCUCCCAGUGCAAGGCUGCCAGAGUCAAGAAUACAUGUUCAAGUAAUUCAGUGAAUGAAUUAAUGUCCCACUCGAAUACCUGACUCUGCCUUCCCUGCUAACCCCAGCUGGAGAGGUCUCUCACCUUCUAGCACCUGCCUCCUGGCGUGUGUGUGUGUGUGUGUGUAUAUAUAUAUUUCAAUAAAAACAAAUGCCAGGCUCAGUGCAGUGGCUCACGGCUGUAAUCCCAGUUACUUGGGAGGCUGAGAAAGGAGAAUCUCUUGAACCUGGGAGGUGGAGGUUGCAGUGAUCUGAGAUCAUGCCACUGCACUCCAGCCUGGGUAACAGAGAGAGACUCUAUCUAAAAAAAAAAAAA